UAUAUUAAUGAAAUUUAGAAGUCAGGAUGGACUUUGUGCACAAAACUAUAAUACGGAACUCUUCAACAUGAAUAAUACAGUCCUACUUUUUGUUCUUAUUGUUUUUGCAGUAGGUGUAAAAGAGUCCAUUCAAGGGUUAUGUACUGACAACUUCUGUUCUAGUACCAAAAACAGCGCUGCUUGUAAUGGGUGUUGCAUUGGUCAGGGAU
This is a long non-coding RNA of Mytilus californianus (California mussel), 209 nucleotides long. RefSeq lists it as uncharacterized. NCBI's taxonomy places the organism in Eukaryota, Metazoa, Mollusca, Bivalvia, Mytilida, Mytilidae. The record is from RefSeq and is a predicted model, not a curated record. The transcript is spliced from 3 exons.